GCUGCGUCCGAAAUCGAAUACUUCCCUACUAUAUAGUAUGCGAAAAACAGUACGCGAGCAGAGUAGUAUGUCCGAAAUCAUAGAAUUCGAAAAACAGUAGGCGAAAAGUACCCGGAUGACCUACUACUUCCGGCGAGAUUCCGAAGUGCGCAUACGGUGGACACUUUACUAUCCCAUGAUGCCUCGGGGGAGGAUUUGUCGUCGUUAUUUUUGAAAAUGGCGGAAAGCGGAGACGCGGCUCUAUUCAAGUGGACUGAUGAACACACCCGUGCUCUAAUACAGUGGAGAGUGGCUAAUGAAGCCCUCUUCACUGGAAAGAGAAAUGCUGCAAUUAAGGGUUUUGAAGUUUUUAUCACAGAGCAGAGGCUGGAGGGCAAAAUGUCUGCUCUUCAGAUAAAAAAAAAAAUGGGAGAACUUUAAACAAAAAUAUAAAGUAAGAUUUUUUUUAUUAUUAUUGUAGUUCACC
Cyprinus carpio (common carp) is the source of this 466-nucleotide long non-coding RNA. RefSeq lists it as uncharacterized. The record is from RefSeq and is a predicted model, not a curated record. Lineage: Eukaryota; Metazoa; Chordata; Actinopteri; Cypriniformes; Cyprinidae. The transcript has 3 exons.